CAGAUAAGAACAAAGAUUAAAUUGUAAGAAGGGUUGCUUAUAAAAGCAUACAGUACAUCUGAAACUGCUGAGACUGGUAAGGUUUUUGACUAUAUUUCCGACCAGAUCAGCUGCUAUAGAAGACAAACUGAAAUCUGAGUGUAGAGACAAGCAAAGGAAUACUGCAAGACACUACUGACUAGGCUGUGCCCAGGUCUCCGGAACCUGCGACGACGCUCAGCUCCAUUGGCCCUUAGUCUGCGGCUUCGGAUCCACCAGCUCUGUCUCCAUCGGUCGCCCCCCAGAUGUCGGCAGCCACACCAUCUACAUCUUGGCUCCUCCCUCCCUCGACUCCGCCGUGUGUUGUCAGCACUGGGAUGCUCUGGGUCUGUGCCAUGUGCCAAACACCAUCUAAGCCGCCAGGGCAUCAUC
Molecule: long non-coding RNA, 411 nt
Organism: Onychostoma macrolepis
Lineage: Eukaryota; Metazoa; Chordata; Actinopteri; Cypriniformes; Cyprinidae
Exons: 3
Source: RefSeq, a predicted model, not a curated record